CUGCGACUAUCUAUUGCUCGCCUUAAUACAUAAUAUUAUUAUUAUUAUUAUCUUCGUAGUCGUUUCAUUCGCCUACGCGACAACGUCGUUAACGCACGCACACGUCGUCUUCGUCGUCUCUGUCAGUUCUACAAUUAUUUCCGUGCUCGAUAUAAUGAUUUACACCGUCUCUCGUCAUAAUAAUUUUAUCACGCGUAGCAACAGUAUGCCGGUACAACGUCGUCGUGUAAUGUGUAUAAUAUAAGAGUUACGCCGAAAACUUUUUAUAAUAUAACGUCAUUCCGUCUUUUAGCAGAGGAAUUAUAUCUAUUAAAUGACAUACUAAGGAAUAUUGAAGAACGUACAUUCACAAUGGCACUAAAUUAAUAUAUUGCGGUUUUAAAAGUCAUAUACUUCUCAAGUGUUCAUUCGUAAAUGGGAUUUAAGUGAAGCAAAACAACAAAAUAUUUAUGAACCUAAUAUAUACGUAAAAAAAUUCUUAAGAUUAUAAGUACAUAAUACGCGAUAUCUAUGUGAUUUAUUUUAACUUUUAAGUUUAUUUUGUUGUUGUAUUCGUCGUUAUAACUCAAAAGUGUAAAUAUAUAUUUUAUUAUAGUAUGUGAAAUUACUUAAAAAUUUAGUUUAGACAAGUGGGGAACUCUAUUAAUGAAACAUUACCAUACAACCACUUGCAAACAUAUUAAAUAUUUUAAAAGUGUAUAUUAUUAUUAUUAUAAGUUUUAAAUGUGCAGUCGUAAGUAUAAAAAUGAUGUGCAGCUGUUGUACCUAAUGACAAUUUUAUUUUAUUUUUAUUCUAAUUACUAUAUUACUAUCAAGUGUCAACGAUGUAAAUAAUAUUAUAAUAUUUAUAGCUAUGCAUUAAAUAUUAGGUUAUAUAAUAAGUCUUAAGAAAAGUUUUAGUGACCGACGAUCGUCGCAUUGUAUACUCACAUAUUAUUAUUAUUAAUUUCUUAUAAAAGUAAAAUGUAAACAUUUCAUAAUUUUUGUAUUAUUUAAAUUGUAAUUGUUCAUUAGUUUAAACUUUAAAGUGUUAUUUUAAAACUAUACCUAAUAUAAUUUUAUAAUAAUAUAGCACUAUCGUUUUUGGUGCCAAAGCGCACAUAAUAUGUGUUUAGUUUUUUUUUAGUUUAAGAUCUGAAAGGGGCUGAAGCAAAUGUAUAAAGUUUCAUAAGUCUUCAAAAAUUUAACUUUGACACUAUAAUACUCAUCUCAGAUGGUGUAUAAAAUAUAAACUAUAAUACAAAUAUAUGAAUGGUCAGAUUCAGAUGAUUGCCUCUCCGAUC
Molecule: long non-coding RNA, 1283 nt
Organism: Metopolophium dirhodum (rose-grain aphid)
Lineage: Eukaryota; Metazoa; Arthropoda; Insecta; Hemiptera; Aphididae
Exons: 3
Source: RefSeq, a predicted model, not a curated record